This 7115-nucleotide long non-coding RNA is filed under the name Gossypium barbadense (sea-island cotton). Its description in RNAcentral is "long non-coding RNA (GBAR_LNC009518)". Lineage: Eukaryota; Viridiplantae; Streptophyta; Magnoliopsida; Malvales; Malvaceae. The record is from RNAcentral.
UAUCUUAAGAACUGUUAAAUUCAGUAUAAGAAUUUGCCAAAUGUAGGACUUGUAUGAAGUUCACCUCAAAAGACCAAUUAGUAUAAGCCACCAAAAAAAAAAUAAUAUUAGAGAGUACACCAUCCUGGUGAAGUGUUCAACAUCUGUCUGUGUGAGAAUCCAUCGAAAGUAAAUUAUGUAUGAAUAUCCUUCUAAGGAAUGCAUUCGUUUCAGAAAAGGAAAUGAGAUCUGUAAGACCCAAUUUUAGCCCGGGCCCAGAUUACAAAAUAAAACAAAUUUAAACCAAAAAUAAUUAAGGUCCAAUGUCCCUUUUACAAAUAUCAGGGCCCAAGACCCAUUACCAAUCUAAUUUCUAACCCCAAAUAACCAAAUCCAAACAGACCCAAAAUAAUACCUAACCCUAAAGCCCAAACAGCCCACAACAAACAAAAUUUUUCAGCAAAAAAAAAAACCCUAGCCACCUUGACCAGCCGCUGCACGUUUCAGCCUCUACUACCCACGCCUCCACCACCCACGUUCUUCACCAUGCGCCCACGCCAUCCACGCCCACGUACUUGUAAAAGUGGUGGAAAGAUUAAUAGAAACGGUUGUAAUAUGGCUAUAAAAGCCCACAAAUAUUCAUUAUUUUUUUAUGAACUCAACACAAAAAAUAGUUUUUUAUGAAUACUCAUACAUUGAAAUAAUAAAAAAGCAACAGCAAUACAUAAUCUAAAUCAGCAAAGGGUAUUUUUUUGUUUGUUUUUUUCAUUUUUAUUUAUUUCCUUUCUUAUUUUUUCGAAUUACACCUACAUAUUUUUUUAAAAUUUUCUUUUUAAAACCUUUUUAUAUGUAUAUUAAAAUAUAAAAAAGAAGAAAAAAAUACCUUUUUUUACCGUCGGCCGCCAUAUAUGGCGGCGGCGGUGGCGUGUGCGGUGGUGGCUUGCCAGAGCAUUGGCCUGAGAUACGCCUGCUGCAGAGAAAAAGAAAAGAAGUUUUGGUUUUUUUUUUAGAAAGAGUUUAAAAUGAUUUUUUUUUGAAAAAGUUUUGGCUUAAAUAAGGAGUAUUAAAUGGAGUCGUUUUGGGCCAAAAUUUAAAUGCCACAACGGCGUCGUUUCAUUGGCCGACCCGCGUUAGUGACCCGACUCAAGGAGGAUCCGCGUGUUUUUGAUUAAUGGACUAUUUUCCAUUUUAGUCCUUUCGCCUUUUAUCAGCUUACAAUUAAUUUUUUUCAUUUUCUAAUUUUGGCCCUGUAAUUUAUUUCGGCUUUCAAUUAAGCCCGCCUUGGGGCUGAGCUUUUUGGAGGGGGGAUUAUUUUCCGUUUUGGUCUCUCUUUAAUGCCCGCGUAUUCAAUUUGGUCCUAUUAUCUUUUAUUCAUUUCGAAUUAACCCCAAAAUUUUGAUUUUCAAUUCAAUUUGGUCCUUUUUCGAUUAUUUUUGCUAUUUUACUAUUCAAUUAAUUAAUUUGAGUUUUAUAUUUACUAUUAUAUUAUUUAUUAUUAGUAUUAUUAUUUUCAUUAUAACUGUCAUCAUUAUUAUUAUUUUAUUUAUUAUUAUUUUAUACUAUUAUAAGCAUUAUAUUAUGAUUACUAUUUUUUUUCCUAUAUCAAUACUAUCAUUAUUAACUUUUAUUUUUACUCUUAUUUUAUUAUUAGCAUAUUAGUAAGUUUAUUAAUGCAUUAAUAUUAUUAUCUUUUAUUUUGUUAUUGUUAUUAUUAUUUUUGUUACUAUAAUUAUUAUUAUCAUACUAUUAAAUUAAUUAGCUAAAUACUUAGUAUUUAUUCGUUUGUUUAUUUACUUAUCAUUUAUAUAUAUAAAUUCAUUUUAUUUUCAUUUUUUUACAAAUUUCAAUUUUAUUUGUUUAUUUCAAGUUUUUACGUAAUACUUAUUUCCAAUUCUUAUACAUAUUAUUUAUUUUAAAUGUAUAUAUAUUAUUUAUUUUGGACUUUUCUUCAUGUGAUUUAUUUUGCUUUUUUUUAUUUUAUAUAUGUAUAUACAUACUUAUUUUAGACUUUGUCAUAUUAUUAUUAUUAUUAUUAUUAUUAUUAUUAUUAUUAUUAUUAUUAUUAUUAUCAUCAUUGUUGUCAUUUUUAUUUUGUUAUAUUUUAUACUUUGUUUCAUUAUCUGCAUGCUUAUUUGUUUUUUUUCAUUUUUUUUUACAUUAUUUGCUCUAAACUUUUUCUUUCAUAAUAUUUAUUUUUAAUAAUCAUCUAUAUAUUAUUAACUUAUUCUUCUUCUUUCAUGGGUUGUUCAUUUGUAAAUUUUCAUAUAUUUAAUAGUUUUCAAAUUGUUUCCAUAUUGUUUUGUAUUUUAUGUGUUGUUUGAAUUUUCAUAUAAUUUCACAUAUUAUUGUUUCAUAUCGUUUAUUAGUCUUUUGUAUUAUUAUUUCAAUUUUUGUUCAUCUAUGUUCGAAACUUGUUAUAUUUUAUUCUAAUUUGUUUCUUGGAUGUGAGCUCAUUACUAUUGUAUGUAUGUUAAUUUGUUUUUUUUUGUUCAUUUGUAUAAUAUUUCAUCUAUGUAUAUUGUUCCAUGUUUAUAACUUUGAUUUUUCUACAUUAUUGCUUCAUGAUUCAAAUUUCAAUGUUUUGAUUGAUAUUGGUCGUCUCAUUUUUAUUUCUAGUAAAACAAGUAAAGGCGUUUUGAGCCGGUUUUAUAAUUGUUUAUUUGAAAAUCUUCCAAAACAAAGGCAAUGUUUGAUGUUUGAAAAUUCAGGAAAUCGUGCCCUAACGUGCUGGGUUUCAAUUUUUUUUGCCUGAAAUAAUCAAAUAUCCCUUUAAAAUUUCAUCUGUGUUUUCUAAAUUUUAAAACAAGGCAAUGAUCUAUGUUUGGAAAUCCGAGAAGUCGUGCCCUAAUGUGCUGGGUUUCGGUUUUUGUUGAACCAAAUAAUUGAAUAUCCUUUUGUAAUUUUCAAAUGUAUGAGCUUUUGGAAAUAAUAAUUGAUAUUGGUUUCGAGGGUUUAAAAGGUCAUGUCCUAACGUACUGGAUGUGAUAUUUUAUUCCUUCGUAACAAGAGAAUUUUAACAUCCAAUUCGAGUUAUUCAAAUGUUCUAAAGGAAACUGUAUUUCAAAAUCUUUUUAAAUUCUAGACAUAAGGACACUAUAUAAUCAAUUAGGUUCCAAUUCUGGGCGUUACAAGGGUGCUAAUCUUUCCUCGUAUGUAACCGACUCCCGAACCUGUUUUCUCAAAUUUUGUAGACCAAAGUCAUUGUUUUAAUAAAUCAAAAUACUUUAUUAAAAUGAUCAAUCUUAAAGUGAACCAAUCACACCUUGAAAAAAAGUUGGUGGCGAUUCCAUACCUCGUUUUAAAGUCGAUCCCCAUUUUUUUCAAAAUUAAAAAUGGUUUCGACAGCUUGGCGACUCCGCUGGGGAUCAAUAAGAGAGUCAAGUCGUAAAAUUGAUUAUUUUUUGUCCUUGUGUCGGAAAAUUGAAAAUUUGAUUUGAAAAAUCAUGCCCCUUUUGUCACAUUUGUUGGUUUCAUGUCAUAUGUUUGUUGUGAUUUGAGAUACGUAGGAUAUUUCUGCAUCAUAUUGCAUGACUGUUGUGGUCGCACCUUUUAAGUGGGAGUGAGAAACUAUGCCGUCGUGAGGUUUUCACCUCCGCAUGAGCUAGUGAACUGCUUCCGGGAUACAUCCGUACCUAUGUCUUCGUGAGGUUUUCACCUCCGCAUGGCCAUAGGGAAAUGUAUUCCCCUGAAUUGAACUCAAUCCACAUGAGCCUAUAAUGGGUGAGGAUUGAGGAAUCUGUUGGUUUAGGUACCCUGUCUUUAGAAACAAACUGCAUAUAGUGAGCCUUAAGAGCCCACCCUAGGUAGAGCCACUUCAAACCCUAGUGGUUACCUAAGUAGGUGCUCUAUUUGCUAUUAAUGUAUUUGUAUUAACGUGUUUUCUUUUGUUUUGGCUAUGAUUACAUUGCAUUUUCAUCAUAUAAAAAAGGUGUUGAUUCAAGUUCAGUUGCUAAAUAGAGAGCUUGUCAUGGAAAAUGAAUUUCUUGAUAAAGUGGAAUACAAUACGGCCGUCUGAAUAUGGUCCGAGUAAACACGACAAGAGAAGGAUGAGAGUCCACAGAGAAGUACACGACUUGGCUUCAAGAUUCAAGCUAACAAAGAUUAUUCUGGAACCGUCAAUGUCUCGACUUACUUAAAGAAGCUGACGAGCAUCAUGAGGAUGAGUGAGUAAGGAUUUGCAGCCCAGAUCAAGCAAAAAGGAGAUAAUUCGCAAGAUUUGAUUUUAGCGUUCGAAUAUGAAGAAAAAGAUCGAUGUCUUCGCCUGGAGUAUAUGGGCAAGCUCGUACAUGUUUCUGCUUUAUGUAAAGAGAUUUGCUAUCUAGAAAAGUUUUUCUAACAGAAUUGAACCAGAAUCAACGUCUCUUUGUGCAUUCAUUUCAUGCAUCUGCAUUGCAUUUCAUUAUAUGCAUUGAAUAUCAAAAAAAGACUUUAAUUAGUUUAAAAACUAUUUCAGUUAAUCUAGAAACCAAUAAAAACCUACCAAGUACGCAUCUUUACUACAUACGGAAAAAACUAAAGCUAUGGAUUAAAGGUUGGAAAAAUUGGAGCAAAUGCAGAAAGAGAUGCAGGAUCAACUGCAAGUACAGAUGCAAGAACAGUUGGCCAAAAUUUAGCAGGAUAUGAAGGAUCAGAUGCUGGAAUCUCAAAAGAAUAUGAUGAGCCAAUUGACCCAGUUACUAGUUGGAAGGCCGGAAAAAGGGAAGAGUCCCAUGAUCAGUACUGAGGACGACAGUGAGGACCUUGCUUACCCUCCAGGUUUCACCCCAAAAAAUGCCUAAGCACCACCUCAAAGAGUGUCUGUCAGUAUCGGACCCCAAUGUCAGAUUGGUACUUCGGCACCAAUAAACUUCCCAAAGGGCUCGUGUUCCAACCUUGAAAAAAAUCGGGCAAAUCCUGUAAUCCCUGACUUCAAUGAUGUAGCGAAAACAGGAAGGGCAAGAGCGGACCUCCUAAAGCAAUUGGAAGACCGAUACAAAUAGUUGGAGAAGAAAUUCAAGGCAUUGGAAAGCGCUGAUUAUCAUUGCGGAAUGGAUGCUAAGGAGUUGAGUCUGGUCCCAGAUUUGGUACUCCCCCCGAAAUUCAAAAUGCCAGAGUUUGAAAAAUACAACGGAAACAGUUGCCCUGAGGCUCACAUCACGAUGUUUUUUCGGAGAAUGAUUGGUCAUGUUAAUAAUGAUCAGUUAUUGAUUAACUGUUUCCAGGACAGUUUGACUGGGGUUGCGGCCAAAUGGUACAACCAGCUGAAUCGUACCCAAGUUAAAUCAUGGAAGGACUUAGCACAAGCCUUCAUGAAGCAAUUUGGUCAUGUGACGGACAUAGCGUUUAAUAGGAUCACGUUACAGAACAUGGGGAAAAAUUCGAGUGAAAGUUUCAGGCAAUACGCUCAGAGGUGGAGGGAAGUGGCUACACAAGUCCAACCGCCUCUUCUGGAAAAGGAGACCACGAUGCUUUUCAUCAAUACUCUGAAAGCCUCGUUCAUUGACCGUAUAUUGGGAAGCGCUACUCUGAGCUUUUCAGAUAUAGUAAUGUCUGGUGAGAUGAUUGAAAAUGCGAUAAGAAGUGGAAAAAUAAACAUGGGAGAAAACACUAAAAGGUCAACCCUGAGAAACAAGGAAAAUGAAGUGAACAUCGUGAGCAUGCCUUCCAAAUUGGUCAACAUAGCCCAACCGAGGGCUGUAACCACUAGUUAUCAAGGCUCUUCAAGGCAGGAAUUCAACUCGAGGCCAAAGUUUAUACCCAUCCCGACGCCAAAGUUAUUCAUAAUUUAAAACUUAAAUGUUUAAUAAUAGUUGUAUAGUAAAAUAUGUUUAUAUUUUUAAAAGUGUAAAAUUUCUUAUCAUUUAUAUUAAUUUAUAAUUAUUCUAUUAUGUAUUGUUUACUAUAAUCUAGUCCAUAAAUUGUUAAAUUUCCAAAACUUUCUUACAACAAAUUUAAUUAAAAUCAAUUUAAAAGUUUAGAAUAGAUUAAUCUAAGUUACAAAAUUAAACAAAGUUUAAUAUUUGAAAUUUCAAUAAAUUAAUAGAACUUUUAUAUAUAUAUUUAAAUUUUAUUGGUUUUAACAGAAAUUAAUACAUGUAAAAUUCAUUUUUUUAAAUAUUUAUUCAUUUAAGUAUAAAAAAAAAAUCACAUAUAAUAUAUAUAAUAGUUUUUUCUAAAAGUUUAGUAAUAUAAAUGUGUCUAAUAAUUAAUAAUUUUAAUAGAAAUAAUUUAAUAAAAUGAUAUUUUGGAUAGAAAUAAAAUGGGGUUUAUUUCCUUCACUUCUUUUUUUUUAAUAAAUUAUUACUAAAGUAGUCUAAUAAUUAAUAAUUUUAAAUAGAAAUAAUUUAAUAAAAAUGAUAUUUUUGGAUAGAAGUAAUUUUAUUAAUAAUUUAAUAAAAGGAUAUUUUUAAUCCAUUUUGAUAUUUUUUAUUUUUUAUAUUAUUUAUGUAAAAAAAAGUCAAAAUAGUUUAAAUUAAUUUAUUUAUGACCAAAAUAAUUUAUGGUAAUUUGCUUAUUCCAUUUUGAAUUUGCUUUGAGAUCAUUAGGUUUCAAUUAGUCAGUUCCUGCCUAAUCUCAGCUGUUUAUGGUAAUAAUUUAAUAAAAGGAUAUUUUUUCAAUUUAUUUUUAAUCAUUUUGGUCAUAUAUAAAUUAAUUUAAAGUAUUUUAACUUUUUUUACAUAAAUAAUAUAAAAAAAUCAAAAUGGAAUAAGUAAAAAUUAACCGGAAAUAGUUGAUUUUUUUACAUAACUAUUAUAAUAAUAAUUACUAAAAUAAGAUAAAUUAAAAAUUAAAUACGAAUAUAGGCAAAAUAAUCUGCUUGCAAAACACCUCUAAUUUAAAAGUUUUUUCUUAUUAAAUUAAUUGGCUUCUCAUCUCUUGGUGAACUAAAACUAUUUCUAAUUUUUUAUCAAAUAAACAACUUUUAAUUUAAAAGUUUUAAAAUCCAUUCUCAGAUCCAUUAUUCAUAAUAUUCGUUCUAUUGAGAAGAGUUUUGAAAGUGUUUUUUACCUUUUUGUUUCUCGGGAGAUUAACAAGGCGGUUCACACUCUUGCUUUGGAAGGAAGGAGACGACAAGUCUCGUGCAUCUGGAUUGAUGGGGUUCCUGAAUCGGUGAAGGUUCCUGAAUCGGUGAAGAAGAUGGUUGUUAUGGAUCGGAC